This 429-nucleotide ribosomal RNA is filed under the name Bacteroidota bacterium. Its description in RNAcentral is "Bacteroidetes bacterium partial 16S ribosomal RNA". It matches the Rfam family "Bacterial small subunit ribosomal RNA", at positions 355 to 776 of the family's 1533-position model. The record is from RNAcentral. Lineage: Bacteria; Pseudomonadati; Bacteroidota.
UAGGGAAUCUUCCGCAAUGGACGCAAGUCUGACGGAGCAACGCCGCGUGAGUGAAGAAGGAUUUCGGUUCGUAAAACUCUGUUGUUAGAGAAGAACAGCGCAUAGAGUAACUGUUAUGCGUGUGACGGUAUCUAACCAGAAAGCCACGGCCAACUACGUGCCAGCAGCCGCGGUAAUACGUAGGUGGCAAGCGUUGUCCGGAUUUAUUGGGCGUAAAGCGAGCGCAGGCGGUCAAUUAAGUCUGAUGUGAAAGCCCCCGGCUCAACCGGGGAGGGUCAUUGGAAACUGGUUGACUUGAGUGCAGAAGAGGAGAGUGGAAUUCCAUGUGUAGCGGUGAAAUGCGUAGAUAUAUGGAGGAACACCAGUGGCGAAGGCGACUCUCUGGUCUGUAACUGACGCUGAGGCUCGAAAGCGUGGGUAGCAAACAGG